Molecule: small RNA, 73 nt
Filed under: Olleya sp. Hel_I_94
Lineage: Bacteria; Pseudomonadati; Bacteroidota; Flavobacteriia; Flavobacteriales; Flavobacteriaceae
Description: Flavo-1 RNA
Rfam family: Flavo-1 RNA (bases 9-73)
Source: RNAcentral
CUGCGUUAGCGAUAGAAACGGUAUCCUUUUUUGAGGUACGAUAAAAAAGAUUUAGUGGAUAGCGCGACCCUUG